UACGGAGGGGACUAGCGUUGUUCGGAAUCACUGGGCGUAAAGCGCGCGCAGGCGGGUGCGGAAGUCGGGGGUGAAAGGCCGGGGCUCAACCCCGGACCGUUCUCUCGAUACUCCGUGCCUAGGGACCGGUAGAGGCCAGUAGAAUUCCCGGAGUGGCGGUGGAAUGCGUAGAUAUCGGGAAGAACACCAGAGGCGAAGGCGACUGGCUGGGCCGGAUCCGACGCUCAGGCGCGAAAGCGUGGGGAGCAAACAGG
RNAcentral lists this unclassified non-coding RNA (254 nucleotides) under uncultured Gemmatimonadota bacterium. RNAcentral describes it as "uncultured Gemmatimonadetes bacterium contains 16S-23S intergenic spacer region". It matches the Rfam family "Bacterial small subunit ribosomal RNA", at positions 524 to 776 of the family's 1533-position model. The record is from RNAcentral. Lineage: Bacteria; Pseudomonadati; Gemmatimonadota.